This 492-nucleotide ribosomal RNA is filed under the name uncultured bacterium. RNAcentral describes it as "partial 16S ribosomal RNA". It matches the Rfam family "Bacterial small subunit ribosomal RNA", at positions 29 to 507 of the family's 1533-position model. The record is from RNAcentral.
AGUGAACGCUGGCGGUAGGCCUAACACAUGCAAGUCGAACGGCAGCACAGUAAGAGCUUGCUCUUACGGGUGGCGAGUGGCGGACGGGUGAGGAAUACAUCGGAAUCUACUUUUUCGUGGGGGAUAACGUAGGGAAACUUACGCUAAUACCGCAUACGACCUACGGGUGAAAGCAGGGGACCUUCGGACCUUGCGCGAUUGAAUGAGCCGAUGUCGGAUUAGCUAGUUGGCGGGGUAAAGGCCCACCAAGGCGACGAUCCGUAGCUGGUCUGAGAGGAUGAUCAGCCACACUGGAACUGAGACACGGUCCAGACUCCUACGAGAGGCAGCAGUGGGGAAUAUUGGACAAAGGGCGCAAGCCUGAUCCAGCCAUACCGCGUGGGUGAAGAAGGCCUUCGGGUUGUAAAGCCCUUUUGUUGGGAAAGAAAAGCAGCAGGUUAAUACCCCGCUGUUCUGACGGUACCCAAAGAAUAAGCACCGGCUAACUUCGUG